This 329-nucleotide unclassified non-coding RNA is filed under the name soil metagenome. RNAcentral's name for it is "partial contains 5.8S ribosomal RNA, internal transcribed spacer 2, and large subunit ribosomal RNA". The stretch from base 1 to 120 matches the Rfam family "5.8S ribosomal RNA", at positions 35 to 154 of the family's 154-position model. The record is from RNAcentral.
GAUGAAGAACGCAGCGAAAUGCGAUAAGUAAUGUGAAUUGCAGAAUUCAGUGAAUCAUCGAAUCUUUGAACGCACAUUGCGCCCCCUGGUAUUCCGGGGGGCAUGCCUGUCCGAGCGUCAUUACAACCCUCAAGCUCAGCUUGGUGUUGGGCCCCGCCGCCCCGGCGGGCCCUAAAGUCAGUGGCGGUGCCGUCCGGCUCCGAGCGUAGUAAUUCUUCUCGCUCUGGAGGUCCGGUCGUGUGCUCGCCAGCAACCCUCAAUUUUUUUCAGGUUGACCUCGGAUCAGGUAGGGAUACCCGCUGAACUUAAGCAUAUCAAUAAGCGGAGGA